RNAcentral lists this ribosomal RNA (202 nucleotides) under uncultured bacterium. RNAcentral's name for it is "partial 16S ribosomal RNA". It matches the Rfam family "Bacterial small subunit ribosomal RNA", at positions 524 to 726 of the family's 1533-position model. The record is from RNAcentral.
CACGUAGGCACCAAGCGUUGUCCGGAUUUAUUGGGCGUAAAGAGCUCGUAGGCGGUUCGAUAAGUCGGGUGUGAAACUUUGGGCUCAACCCAAAGCGUGCAUUCGAUACUGUUGUGACUAGAGUUCGGUAGGGAGUGGGGAAUUCUAGUGUAGCGGUGAAUGACGCAGAUAUUAGGAGGAACAACCGGUGGCGAAGGCGCCA